RNAcentral lists this non-coding RNA (368 nucleotides) under Nosema bombycis CQ1. RNAcentral describes it as "Microsporidia small subunit ribosomal RNA". It matches the Rfam family "Microsporidia small subunit ribosomal RNA", at positions 921 to 1311 of the family's 1311-position model. The record is from Rfam by way of RNAcentral. Lineage: Eukaryota; Fungi; Microsporidia; Nosematidae.
GAUGCUGUGAAGUAAUGAUUAAUUUCAACAAGAUGUGAGACCCUCAUUUAGACAGAUGUAGUGAUACAUAUGAAGGAGAGGAUUUAAACAGGUCCGUUAUGCCCUAAGAUAAUCUGGGUUGCACGCGCAAUACUAAAAUAUUUGAUAUUAUAAGGGAUAAUAUAAUGUAAGAUAUAUUUGAACAUGGAAUUGCUAGUAAAUUUUAUUUAAUAAGUAGAAUUGAAUGAGUCCCUGUUCUUUGUACACACCGCCCGUCGCUAUCUAAGAUGGUAUUAUCUAUGAACAAAUUUAUAACGUGAAUAGAUAGUACUAGAUCUGAUAUAAGUCGUAACAUGGUUGCUGUUGGAGAACCAUUAGCAGGAUCAUAA